Molecule: ribosomal RNA, 147 nt
Filed under: Triticum aestivum (bread wheat)
Lineage: Eukaryota; Viridiplantae; Streptophyta; Magnoliopsida; Poales; Poaceae
Description: partial small subunit ribosomal RNA
Source: RNAcentral
AUGAAGAAGCUUGCAAACCGAAUGCAGUUUGGUAUACCAGAGGAGAGCUCGUUAGGUGAUGGUUUGGGGGAAGGCUAUGGCAUGCUUGGGCAGGCCGGAAGUGGGAAGCUACGUGUCUCAGCUGCGCAAAAACAUACUUGCUGCUAA